UUUAUUAUGCCAAUUUUAAUGAUAAGUUAAGGCUUAGAAAGAAUAAUUAAAUAUCUUAUUCAAAGUCACAUAGCUAGUAUGUAACAGGUGGGAAUUCAAACUCAAGACCAGCUCUAGAGGACAUAAAUUUAAUUACUACCCAAUCAGGACUCUAUUUUGGGUCUGUUUUCCCUCAGAACUUGUUCAGAUUAGUACUGGUAAUUUUAUUUAAAGAAAGGCAUAUUUGAUUUGGAGAAGAUUCUAGAGAAGGGCACAAAGUCAGAGAGUUUAAAGUGGGAGGAAGAAGGGUUGCUAUGGGAGAGUCUGGCUUUUAUAAUUUAACUCUCCAGUCUAGAUUUAAAAAUGCUGAGGGAAUUUGUGCAAAGGUUUUACAGAGAAUGGAUUCAGUAGCUGCCUUCUGAUGUGGUGCCAUAGAUAACGGUAGAACUGGGUAACAUGUUAAAGCAAGCUAUGGAAAUCGUGAGUAGGAGCAGGUCAAAGGAAAGGUUAAAUUCUGGGAGUACUGGGAAGGUAGAAGUCAAAAAGAAAAACUAAAUCAAACCAGAUUGAAUAAUCAAGAACUAAGUAUCAUAGGGAAACAGGAUGUGGUAGAACAGAAAUAGCAUAUUCAAACUGGUAGAUCCUACUGACUUUGGAAGGCCCUUAUGUUUAUUGUUUGUUGUUUGUGCCCUUUUAUUUGUUUCAAAAACCAAGAGCUGGCAUAAAUAUGGGCCAUGUAGUGUUUGUGGUACAGAGAUUGCUAUGCUUUUGGCACAGAAAACACAAGAAUCAAUACUAGCCUAAAUUUAUGCAUGUUUAAGCAUAUUACAAAGUCUCUAAUUUAGUACAACAAACUGGUAAACCAAUUUUUGAGUGCCUAUUUUGUGCCAUCCAAUUUUGAACUGUUCUUAGGGGCAUUUAAAAAUAUCUAUUCGGAAUUUAGCUUUCAAAUACAAGAGAAUACCUGUUAGCUUUCCUGAGGGUUUGAUGGAUAUGAGGAAGAAAUAACUUAAUUUUAAUUGGUUC
Molecule: long non-coding RNA, 1005 nt
Filed under: Marmota monax (woodchuck)
Lineage: Eukaryota; Metazoa; Chordata; Mammalia; Rodentia; Sciuridae
Source: RNAcentral